RNAcentral lists this transfer RNA (76 nucleotides) under Desulfovibrio sp. OttesenSCG-928-A18. RNAcentral describes it as "tRNA-Val". It matches the Rfam family "tRNA". From Rfam's summary of the family: Transfer RNA (tRNA) molecules are approximately 80 nucleotides in length. Their secondary structure includes four short double-helical elements and three loops (D, anti-codon, and T loops). The record is from RNAcentral. Lineage: Bacteria; Pseudomonadati; Thermodesulfobacteriota; Desulfovibrionia; Desulfovibrionales; Desulfovibrionaceae.
GGGUGGUUAGCUCAGCUGGGAGAGCAUCGGCCUUACAAGCCGAGGGUCGCAGGUUCAAUCCCUGCACCACCCACCA